RNAcentral lists this ribosomal RNA (501 nucleotides) under uncultured euryarchaeote. RNAcentral's name for it is "bacterial SSU rRNA". It matches the Rfam family "Archaeal small subunit ribosomal RNA", at positions 340 to 843 of the family's 1478-position model. Lineage: Archaea; Methanobacteriati; Methanobacteriota. The record is from RNAcentral.
UACGAAACCUUUACAAUGCACGAAAGUGUGAUAAGGGGAUUCCGAGUGCUCAUGCAUUGCAUGGGCUUUUGCCAAAGGUAAAUACUUUGGCGAAUAAGGGGUGGGUAAGACGGGUGCCAGCCGCCGCGGUAACACCUGCGCCCCAAGUGGGAACCGGCUUUAUUUGGUCUAAAGCGUCCGUAGCCGGGCAAGCAAAUUCUCUGUGAAAUCGGUCAGCUCAACUGAUCGGCGUGCAGGGGACACUACUUGUCUUGGGACUGGGAGAGGUUAGAAGUAUGUUGGGGGUAGCGGUAAAAUGUUUUAAUCCCCGAUGGACUACCUAUGGCGAAGGCAUCUAACCAGAACAGAUCCGACGGUGAGGGACGAAAGCUAGGGGAGCGAUCCGGAUUAGAUACCCGAGUAGUCCUAGCCGUAAACGCUGUGAGCAAGGUGUUGCGCAAUCUCCUUGAUUGUGCAGUGUCGAAACGAGGUGAUAAGCUCACCGCCUGGGAAGUACGGUCG